CACAGUCAAAGCUACAUUGGAGUUGCUAAGGAACAAAAAGGUAGAUGACCUGAAAGCCAAACUAGCUGCCCAGGAAGUAGAACUGAAACAGAAAAAUGAAGAAGCUUGCAAGCUGAUCCAGGUGGUUGGGGUGGAAUCUGCGAGGAGAAGACUAUCGCUGAUGAGGACUAGCAGAAGGUAGCUCUGAUUGCUAAGGAAGUCAACAGGAAAGAGAAUUGUAAAGAUUUAGCCAAGGCAGAGCCAGCACUGCUUGAACCCCAGGAUGCUCUGUAUACUCUUAACAAAUAACAAUUUGACAGAGCUAAAGUCUUUUAGCUCACCAGUCUCGGCUGUUACUAACGUCACAGCUGCCGUCACGGUGCUCCUACCACCUGGGGUAAAAGCUCCCAAAGACUGAAGCUGGAAAGCGGCAAAGUAGACAGCUUCUAGUCAAGUUCAACAAGGAGAAUGUCCAUGAAAACUGUCUGAAAGCUCUCCAGCCUUACCUGAAGGACCCCGAAUUUAAUCUUGAAUUGGUGUCAAAGUCCCUUGCAGCCACUGUUCUUUGUUCCUGAGUUGUUAAUGUUGUGAGGUUUUAUGAAGUGCAUUGUAAAGUGGUGCCCAAAUGCCAGGCCCUGAAUAAAGCCAACACAGUACUGUAAAAGUGGUUUUAGCCAACAAUAUUAUUUCUUAAAUCUGUUGGGCACUUUAAUUCUCUAUAGAUAUUUAUGCUUUUUUAGAUUUUAGUAAACAUGUAUUUUCAAUUCAAAACAUGAUUUUUGGUACUAUACCAGGUUUUUUACAUUUUUUUAUACUCUUAUACAGGUAGUGUUGCACUGCCUGACACUCACAGUCUUGCGCUAAGUUAACUAUGGCGCAGUUUACAUUGAAAAGUAAAAAUAGGUCUCACCUUUUUGUCACUAUUUUGGUGGUGCCUUUUGGGCGAUGUAGUUCUUUCAAGGAGAGAAAUGAUCCUUCAAAAUUCAAAUGGCCUAAUUAAUAGUAAAAUCUGUGAGGGUGUAUUUAAAUGUUUGUGUCUGUGGUCCAGUUUGGCGUUGCGCGACUACUGAUAUUGUGC
This is a long non-coding RNA of Polyodon spathula (Mississippi paddlefish), 1057 nucleotides long. RefSeq lists it as uncharacterized. The transcript is spliced from 3 exons. The record is from RefSeq and is a predicted model, not a curated record. Lineage: Eukaryota; Metazoa; Chordata; Actinopteri; Acipenseriformes; Polyodontidae.